Vicia faba (fava bean) is the source of this 255-nucleotide non-coding RNA. The record is from the annotation of a GenBank genome assembly. Lineage: Eukaryota; Viridiplantae; Streptophyta; Magnoliopsida; Fabales; Fabaceae.
AUGAAUUCAAGUUCUAAACCUAAAACUCCAAGUUAUAUCAUCAAUUCUACAUGUUACAAACAUUACAAGUUUCCUACACCUAAAAUGAUAUGGACAUCACAAGGCUUUGAUUUUUCUUCUUCAACCUUGGACUUUCCAAGUUCUUCUAAGCCACAUUUUCAUCUUCAAGUACUCACCAUCUCCUCCAUGCUAGCCAUGGCUUCUUCUCCAACAAUCUUUCAUCAUGCUCUCAAUAAUCAUCAAAAUUGCUCAUGA